AGGGACAGGGCCUUGGCCACUGCCACUUGGAGUGGAGGCUGGGGUCCUGCUCCCUGUCCAGUACCUGCACAGGAGGCCUUUUCUCUGUCUUGGGCUCUCCCACUCGCCUAGAUCCUUCCUGGUCACUUCUGAGCCUCCAGAAAUGUUUUCUGUCCCCCAAAGUCUCCUCCUCCAGGAAGCCUUCCUUUCCUGUCUAGACCAGUUUGACCUGCUGAGCGUUCCCCUGCUUUUUACCCCUUCCAGGCUCACUCCUGUAGCUUUGCCCUUGAACUUCUGAGCCUUUAGUGAGUACAUGUUGGCGAGAGCACAGCCUCCUUCCUCCCUUGCUCACAGUUUUUGAGGGCGUCUCCCUCAUCAGACUCGGGGCUCCCUGAGGACAAGGCAGGGCCUCUCUUCAGGCUGGGGGGGGCCUCCUGGUGUUGGAAGCUUCCCUCUAACCUUGCCUCUGCAUGCAGGAGGCCCUCCCGACAUUGCACACAAGAGGGGACCGAGCUCCUGGGCGGUCACCCCUGCUGGCUGUAUGCCUUGCGGGGGCACUCGUCUUGCUCCUCGUUUUCCACCAUCUUCGUGUCCUUUCCAGAUCCGUGGCAGCGGAUUCUAGCACUACGGAGAAUGAGGGAGCACCGAGGCCCUCUACCUGGGAAGGAGGAGCACAUAAUGGAGCCUUGGGCCUGGAAGCUGAUCCGCUCCUGAUGGCAGGCACCUGGUGCCAGCACCCCACCCUGGCACUGCCUGGCUCCCCAGAGGACCAAAGCCUGAUGUAUCCCCAAGGUGCCUGGCUUGGUGCUGGGUCUUGAGACUUCCCUGAAGGAAUCUACAUGGCAGCCAACUCAGCGACAACCUGGUGACACUGUUGCUCUGAAGAAAGGCUAAAGCAGGAACUAAGCCAACAUAGCCCCUACCCCUAGUCAUCUAUGGCAUGUGUUGUGUGAUUUACUGCUCUUUCUCUCCUUCCUUCUUUCCUUCCUUCCUGCCUUCUUUCUCCAACCCUCCCCACCCUGGCUAGGGGGAUAGGAUAAACCCAUUUCCCUAUUCCUUUCUGUUUGACUUUAGCCAAAGGACAGUAGAUUUGCAUUCUCUGAGAGUUUGUUUCAUGCAGGGGAGUAGGCAUGGGAGACACGGAAGGGAAUAACAGACUCUAGGCUUUGCUUAUGCUCGCUGUGUCCAUGUAUCUCCCUACAGCCUGGGAGGUUAUCACAGUGGCUCCCAUUAUACAGAUGAGGAAACAGGCUCAGACAGACAAAGUGACUUGCCCAAGGUCCAAGGCUUGGACCUGUGAACGAAGAUUGGGUGUAGCCUGUCUGGCUUUUUCCUCUGCGUGCUAUGGGGGAGGAGGGUGGAACAGGGGAGCUGGUGGGGGCGUUUCAUAGGGAGGGUUCACCAAGCCGGUGUCUUUUCGAAAAGGACAGAGGUCCUGGCCACCCAGGGAAGAGAGGAAGCAGUUUUCUACCUGCUGGGAUUUGAGGGGUUCCUUGGAACCACUAACACUCAGGGUUUCAUGCUGGAUUUCUUUGAAUUAAGGAUCACGCUCCCUAGGAGCCUCUAAGAACACAUAGACCCCUGGAAGAUGGGAUGCUGUGUAUCUGUGGUCUCAGCUGAAGUGUUUGAUGGAACAGUUACAGAGCCUUAAAGCUUAGGGAGUGUGACCUCACGCUCUCACCCAGGAGAAGCCUGAGGUCCAGAAGAGGGGGCUGACUUGGCCAAGGUCACACAGCAGGCAGCAGAUUCGACUUUUCCUCCCAGUGCGGUUUCCAAUCUCCCACGCCUGUGGCAGGCAGGCAGGAGGGCCCUGGGUACCUGAUGCAGAUAGGAGGGGGCAGAGCUGGAGAAAAGGUCUUUCUGCUUUGAGCUCUGUCCCAGCCGAGUGGCCCUGUGCUUGUCACAGGCUGGUGUCCUCUGCUCUCCUCCUCUGGCCUACCCCAGGCAAACAACAGCAGCACUCAGUGUUGAGCUGAACCUACCUCCGGUGUCUGCUUGUUUGUUGAAAUACUCUGGCUGAGACAUGCUGUCCCAGAGGGCGGGGACAGCAGUGCGGGGCUCACCCCCAUGAGGGAGUGGCCUUGUCCCUGUGGGCUUUGGCUGGGGAUGUUUCGGAAGAAGCCCUAAUCCCCUGCUCUGCCUAGCCUCAAAGUUUUUGUCACCCUGGGGAGCCUGCGAGAACUGCAUGCGCCAGCUGCGCCCUCCAGACGUCACUUCCCAGCCUGUUCCGUAUUCCUGCUCGGCUCAGCCGCCUAGACUCCUGCUCUUCUGUCAAGACAAGUGUCACCUCCUCCAGGAAGACUUCCCUCACUCCCAGCAAUCAUGUGCCCAUCUCUGUUUUCAGUUUACUCUUUGGUUCUCCUCCAUAUAGGAAGCCCCAUGGGUUUAUGGGCUGAGUUUCAUAUUUGCUUGUGGAAUGAACGUUCUGUGCCACAUCCUGCAGCAGGUACCUCCUGAUGUCCAUUCCAGCCACUCUGACUGCUCUACCGCAGUAACUUCCUGACACUUUGUGGCUCUCUCAGGGCCUUUUUCCCCUCUUACCUUCUUGGGUAGCUGUGAGCAGCUGUCUGCAACUCUCCAAGGCAGGUAUUAUCACUCCUGUUUUACAGACAAGGGGAACUGUGGGUCAGAGAGGCUGAGUAACUUGCCUAAGGUCACACAGUUAAGGAGUGGCAGUAUCACUUGGGUCCACUGGGAACCAGAGUCCCUGCGCUUUUCACUGCCCUACUUAGGUGUCCCCGUAUCGCCUAUAAUAUCAGCACCGUGCCUGGUGCCUAGUAGACCUUGGGAAAGAUCCAUAAAUUGGAAUAAAGCUCAGCUCCCAGGCACAGCCCAGGGUGAGAGGGAAAAUGCAGCUUUAGGACCUUAGCUGCCGCCUCUGCCACCACCUUUAAAGCAGAGGGACUCCCUUCAAGACUGAGUGGGGGUGUGAACAGGGGCAGCAAGGGGCAGAACGAGGUGGGCAGGUCAGACUUUGAGGGGGAGCAAAGACCGGGGUGUCAGGAAGGGGACAUGCCUGGGGCUCUCAGGGAGAAGCAAUCCAGGGGGACGGCCUGAUGUUCCGUGAUUCAGCAGAGGCCCAUGGUGGCGGGGCAGAGAUGCAGCUGAUGAGGCCUGGGGGUGCUGUGGAUGGGAGUGGUCCAUAAGACAGUGACCCUACCCUGUCCCUUCUGUCCCCUCUCCUUCUUCCCUCCCUUUUUCCUGACUGUCUCCUCUUGGGGAGUUAACUUCUUGGGCUUCCUCUGCUCUGCUCUUGUACUCCAGUUGGCAUCAUUAUCCAUCAUUACCCCCAAUCAGACCUCCAGAUCCAGAUGGGAAUAUGAUACUCGUGCUGGAAAAAGAGGGCCCUCUUCCUUGCUUGUGCUUCAUUUCCCCAUGGCUUUAUUGCAAAGACCUAGUGAGAGAGAGAGAAAGUUUGACCCACAGCCAGACAGAGAAUCGAGCAGAACCAACCCAAUUCUCUCUCCUUCUCUUCAACAGCCUCUAUCCCACAGCCCUCCCUGCGGAUCCGCCCUGUGUCCUGCUAGGCGCCUGGGGCUUGGAGGAUGGAAGGAGGGAGAAACUUUUCUUCCAUCACAGAGAAACCACUUGGAGAAAUGUUUAGACAACAGCAAACCUCAGCGACUCUCUCCUGCCUCCCUCUCCCUGCUCUGGAGGGGCCCUGCCUCUCCAUCCAUGGGCUUGGAGGGGACAGCCCCUGCCCGCAGAGAGAGACCGUCCCUGGGACAUCAGAGGUGUUAGGACAUCAGGAAAAAGUGCAACUAGUGUGCCUUGGGCCCCAUCGCUGCUUCCUUUGUCUGAGGCCACUGCUGGCUCCUGGCCACCUUUCAUGUUCCUCUUCACCCACCCCUGCCCCCUUCUCGACUCCCCCUCACCUGGAACACCUUUCCCUUCCUCUUUGGCUCCUUGAACUGCCUCAGAGCCAUAGGAGAAGGCUGUGCUGGCCAUGAGGUGGGGUCCUCCGAGGGAGGCUGAGGUUGCCCCCCACCAUAUGAUCUCUGUCUUGGCUGCUCUCUGCUCCAUAUGCCCCCAGCCUGGCCAUGUUCCUGGGUGACCUUGGGUCCCUCUGUGCCCUUGGGACUCUCUGCAGGGACAGUCUGCUCUGAUAUUCCCUGACCUGAUGGGAGGGGCCUGCAGAGAGAGGGUUAGGAAUUAAGCUCAUUGGAGGAGAUCAAAUCCACGGGAAGAGAAGAUGCUAUAGAAACACCAUGUGGUCUUAAGAUUGUUGACUUGUGUUCCUUGGUCUGUGUAUUUCUGGCCCCCAAUUUUGAAGACUCAGGUGCGUGGACCUCUCGGUGUGAUGAUACCCCAUGAGGCUGGGUCCAUAACAAGGUAGUAUUGUGAAAGCUGGUGACACCUCAUUGGGGGAUGGGAUGGGAUCCAGAGUCAACCCCCCUCCCAAGUCAGCAGCAGGCCGUGGCUCUGAAAUGAAGGGUGGAGAUGGGAGACUCCUCUUCAGGCGGGCGAAGGUGCUCAGAACCCCUCAGGCCAGGCUGCCAUUCUGCUCCCUCAUUUCCCUGGUUCCCUGAGCAGAGGCUACAGAAGUUGCUGGAACACACUUUGCUCAGGGUAAGGGAGAGCUCUAUGGCUAUUAAGUGGCGAUUGAUGGCCAUCCUUCCUGGGAACCCCUGUGUCUUCCUCUCAACUUCAGGGUCCUUUCUCAAGACCUCCUCUUCAAGCCUCUCCAGGGGCUGAGGAAAGCUGGGAUGAGAAGGGGUACAGAGGAGGGGGCCAGAGUGAGCCCAGGUGCUGAAGCCGGGCUCCUCUGUCUUGGGCUCAGCUGGCCUCGGUGCAGGAAGGAGGCCGGGGCUCCCUGCCAAGGUGCAUGCGUCUUGUGCUCUGGGGGUGCUAGAGGUGGACCAGGUCCGACAGGGAGGGUGUUUAGGAUCUUUGCUUCCAUGUUCCACGCGGCAACUUGGAGCGUGGAGACUUGGUGCAGAGGCCUGCCUGAGAGGGGGCCCUGAGCCAGCAAAUAAACAUUUACUAACUGUAAAAAGACCUUGUCCCUGCUGCUGGGGAGCCUGCCAGGUGGUGGAGACGAGACUGGAGGCAUGAAUGAUGGAGAGGGAAGGAUGGGGUGGCGGCUGAGCCGGCCCCUCUGCUUGUAGGGGCUUCGGGACACCCCUCCUGUGAAACUGGGGUACUAAGGGGGUAAGCUAGUGCCCUGAUCAUGUGCUGAGACUGGCAGCUGGCUGAGCAACUCCUUGGAUCCUUUUGGUCAACCUGGGGGCAGUGACUGGCUCCUGUUCUCAGCCUUGCUCCCAUUCUCCGCCCAGGCCUUCACAGAGGCUCCAUCAGCUCCAGGCCAGGGCCUGGCUAGAUCUGGAUGAAUAAUGAGACUGGUCGGUCCCUCUCUUCCCACAGGUAUCAGCCCCCCCACCCCUACCCACUUUGUUCCCUGGGGGAGCCUGGGAGCUGCUGGGUCAAAGCCCAACCAGGAAUUUUUCCAGGCUGGUUCCUGUAUGUGAGGGAGAGUUGGGGGGCCUUUGAGGGGGGGCAGUUAGGGAAGACAUGGGGAGUUGGGGGAGAGGCUUUGAAGGAAGGGAGAGGAUCCAGGGGAAGGGAGGAGAGGCUGUCAGCUGUGAGAAGGAGGCAAGGGAUCCUGGAAGUCUGGGGGCUGCUGAGGAGAACUCUCCAGUUCUGUUCAGAGGAUGAGCUGUGAGCCUGGACUGGGGCUGAUAGAAGCUUUGGCCCCCGGCCUGGUGGGAGCUCCGGGCAGCUGGCCUACAGACGUUCCUUAGUGCUGGUGAGUAGGUUUGAAUCAUCACUCAGGCCCUGGCCUCCAUCCGCCCCCACCAGCCCCCUGGCCUCAGUUCCCUGGCAACAUCUGGGGUGGGGGGGGGAGGCAGGAACAAGGGCCUCUGUCUGCCCAGCUGCCUCUCCCUUUGGGCUCUGCCAGACUCGGCAGUGCAUACGUGGGCUCCAACAGGUCCUCUUCCCUCUGGGCCACUGACUAACCCCAGAGCCACACAGCUUCCCGCUCUCUGCCCCCCAAACUUGGUGCCAAAUACUUCUACCCAGGGGAAUCUCCCCAAACACUUCCCAAAGGACUCCACUCACUCCAGCCCAUUGGCUGCAACUCACUCUGAUGUCAGCAGGCCAGAUGAAGGCUCCAGAUGGGCACCCUGUCCAAGAUGGAUACAUCGUGCCCCCUGUGCCCAGCUCCGGGCUCUGUGCACAUGUGGCCAUUAUAGUCCCAAACAUGCCACUGUUUGAGAGAUCAGAAACGGGGCGUCAGGGGUAAUGUCCCUUUACCCUCUUCUGAGGCCUCUUGAGCCAGAGCUGGGGUGUGCAGACGGUAGUCACUAGGGGGCGCUCAGCCACCACAGGGAAGCUGGGUGAACUUGGCGAGCGGCGUCUGCGUGAGAGUGAAGACGCGUGUGUCUGGGUGUGUGUGGGUAGGACUCUGAGAGCGCUGGAGGUGGGAGGCCAGAGAUCGCCCCAGGAUUCCAACAGAUCUGUACGUCUCUCUCUUCACCUGUCCCUGUCCAACUUCCCCAAACCCCUAUUCUCUCCAAUAUUCCCAGCGUAAAGGGAAUGGCUCUCGAGCCCUGGCCGCACAUAACCUCACUUUUCUGUACCCUCCCCCCAAAUACCGCGCGGUCGUGUGCCUCUCCGGGCAAAGGGAGGCGGAUAGGUCAUGUUGAGGCUGUGACCCUUGGUGGGGGUCGAGCUUCCCUUCGCUGGGGUGAAAUGGGGGCCCAGGCUUCGUUCGGUAUCCCUAGGGAAAGGCAGCGCCAGGGGUCGGAGCCGCGCGCGGAGGGGACGGACUCCAGGGUUGAGGCUGGGCCUGUCCCCGCCCCUGGGCGUGUCGGGGGCGUGCCGGGGCGGGGCCAGGCCUUCUUUUUAGUCAGCUUCUAGCGGUGAAGAGCGCAGAGGCUUGGGGCAGCCGGGCUGCUGGGAGGCCGCGGCACUGGGGGCGAGAGGAGCCGGCGGCAGCGGCGCUCGGUCGAGAGACGCAUCCGCAAGGCGGACGAGCCGGCGGGGUCACCAGCUUGGGGGUCUCCGCGCUGGAAUUUGAUAUUCAUUUAUCCAGGGCUCACCCUCCUCCUUUUUUUCGGAGACAUUUUUGGAAAACCGUAUUCUUUUCCGUUUUAAUUUAUUUUUGCUUUCCAUUCCCCGCUAAAUCGGGCCGAUCGUUUGGGGAGAUUGCUCCUUUACUCCCCCAAAUCACUUCGGAUUUUGGAAA
This is a long non-coding RNA of Sus scrofa (pig), 7168 nucleotides long. RefSeq lists it as uncharacterized. The record is from RefSeq and is a predicted model, not a curated record. Lineage: Eukaryota; Metazoa; Chordata; Mammalia; Artiodactyla; Suidae.